Molecule: non-coding RNA, 262 nt
Filed under: Nestor notabilis (Kea)
Lineage: Eukaryota; Metazoa; Chordata; Aves; Psittaciformes; Psittacidae
Description: Bacterial large subunit ribosomal RNA
Rfam family: Bacterial large subunit ribosomal RNA
Source: Rfam by way of RNAcentral
GAAACCCAAGCGAGCUACUUGCAAGCAGCUAGCCCGAGCGAACCCGUCUCUGUCGCAAAAGAGUGGGACGACUUGCUAGUAGAGGUGAAAAGCCAAUCGAGCUGGGUGAUAGCUGGUUGCCUGUGAAAUGAACCUAAGUUCCCUCUCGACUAUUCUCUAAGGACACCCAAAUCUAACCCCCAUGUAACUAGCCUAGGGUAAUUUAAAGGAGGUACAGCUCCUUUAAAAAAGAAUACAAUCUCACCCAGAGGAUAACCCAACC